This 409-nucleotide ribosomal RNA is filed under the name uncultured bacterium. Its description in RNAcentral is "bacterial SSU rRNA". It matches the Rfam family "Bacterial small subunit ribosomal RNA", at positions 359 to 764 of the family's 1533-position model. The record is from RNAcentral.
AGGAUUGGCAUUGGGCGAAAGCCUGAUCAGCCUGCCGCGUGUGUGAAGAAGGUCUUCGGAUUGUAAAGCACUUUAAGUUGGGAGGAAGGGUUGUAGAUUAAUACUCUGCAAUUUUGACGUUACCGACAGAAUAAGCACCGGCUAACUCUGUGCCAGCAGCCGCGGUAAUACAGAGGGUGCAAGCGUUAAUCGGAAUUACUGGGCGUAAAGCGCGCGUAGGUGGUUUGUUAAGUUGGAUGUGAAAUCCCCGGGCUCAACCUGGGAACUGCAUUCAAAACUGACUGACUAGAGUAUGGUAGAGGGUGGUGGAAUUUCCUGUGUAGCGGUGAAAUGCGUAGAUAUAGGAAGGAACACCAGUGGCGAAGGCGACCACCUGGACUAAUACUGACACUGAGGUGCGAAAGCGUGG